AGACAAGGAGAUCCACUAUCUCCUUAUCUUUUUAUUUUGGUGAUGGAAGUUCUUUCAAGAAAGCUUCACUCCCUUCAGGAUAGAAAUGAGUUGUAAGGAAUCAAACUGGCGUAUAAUGCUCCAUCAAUUAAUCAUAUUUUCUUCACAAAUGACGCCCUUCUUUGCUUUUAGGCAACCCCAUUCUCUUGCAGGCUCGUAAAGCAGGUAAUCAAUGAUUUUUGUCUAAUUUCUAGGGAGGUAGUCAAUUCGAACAAAUCCUCAAUUAUCUUCAGCCCAAAUACCCCUCCUAGAUUUGUUAGAAUCUUGAGAAAACCUCUCGGAGUAAGGAGUAGCAAAGAGUUAGGCACAUAUCUAGGAUGCCCAAUGGAUGUCGAUGGUCGCUCCUCUAUAAAACUUGCUAGCAUUCUAAGCAAGAUUAAACAAAAAAUCUCCUCAUGGAAGUUCUCUUUUAUUUCCCAAACAGGAAAGCUCUUACUCAUCAAUGGCAUUCUUGUUGCAAUGGCACAACACAUCCUUUCAAUUUUUUGGUGUCCUGAACUAUUAAUAGAUAAAAUCAAUUCAACUAUUAAUAGGUUUUGGUGGAGUUCGAAUGAUCACCAGAGGAAAAUUUAUUAGAGGAAAAAAGAUGUGCUCUACUCACAUAAAACUGAAGGAGGUCUUGGAAUAAAAGAGGUGAGAGCAAUUAACAACAAUCUUCUCAUGAAGAAUAGCUGGAGAUUUUACAAGAAUCCUCACAUGCUAGCAAGCAAGAUCUUUAAGGCUAGAUAUGGAUCCAAUCCUAUCUCUCUAGGACUAUCAAAUAAGCAGAUUCAAAGAGGCUCUUGGGCAGCCAAGAGCAUGAUCAAAGCUGUGAGAUCUUUUACAGGAGCAAUUGGGAAAAGAAUUGGGAAUGGUCAAUCCACCUCUAUCACACAAGACAUCUGGGUUGGGAAAGAAACAAUUUCUCCUUUGAAUAAUACCAAUCUUCAGCAAGGAGCGAAGGUGGCAGAUCUGAUGACUAGCUCGAGACAAUGGAACUCAAGCAUCAUAUGGAGGAACUUUGAUGCAGCAACAACUAGAAAUAUCAUGGUAAUUCACAUCCCAGAACAGGAUCAGCAAGAUGAAUACUUUUGGCUACAUGAUAGAAAGGGAGAGUUCACAUUUAAAUCGGGCUAAUGGUUCCAUAUUAGAAAUAGAAAUGCUCAGUUUUGGAAGCCAAAAGCGCCACUCUUUUGGAAAGAAUUCUGGAAACUUGACUUGUUGCCUCAAUGGAAGUGGUUCAUUUGGAGAUUAUCUCACAACAUCCUCCCAACAAGUGAUAAUCUGCAGAAAAGAGGAAUCCCAAUUCAAAAUGUCUGCCCAUUAUGCGAUUCAGAAAGAGAAGAUGCAAAUCAUAUCUUUCGAUUUUGUGACUUUACCAAGAGAAUUUGGGCAUCCUCUUCUCUUGGCAUUAUCUCCGCUAACCCUUGUUUCCUGUCUUGCAGGGAAUGGGUAACUAAUUUCAUUAGUUAUCUAACUCACAGGGACGGUCAAGAUGAUCCUCUCAGCAUACCCAGAUUCAUCUCAAUCCCAUGGGCAAUCUGGGGACAUAGAAAUGACAUCCUGUUUAAUGGCGUGAGUGUCAACCCAAAAGCUAUUUUGGAGGCGGCACAGGUACACGUCAAUAGAUGGAAAACUGCUUCUACUCUCAAGACCUUGAUCAGUUCUCUCCGAACUUCAAGGAAUUUCCGCCAUAGGCUACCUUUGAUAUGGACAUCAGGAAGAGUCUCAAGUGGACCAAAACUUAUCAUCUGCGUGGAUGCAGCCUGGAAAAAUUUUAAGAGAAAGGAGAACAACUUUUGGCAAGCUAACUCACAGAGCUGUAAUCUAUCGGGAGCUAAGAGGGUUUUUGCAUCAUCACCAAGCCAAACAGAGGGACUGGCUAUCCUAACAACAAUCAAAGAAUCCCCACAACACUAUACAUAUCUUAUCAUUAAAACAGUUGCAUUGGUGGUUGUGGAAAGUCUCAAGCACUCACCCAACUCAGUGGAAGAGCUCAAAAAUGCGAUACAGGACAUCAAACUAGCAGCUCAAGAAGAGAAUUUGUAAUGUGCAUCAAAGUAUCUAGGAAUUGUGUUUCCAAAGCCCAUGCUCUUGCUACACAUUGCAGGAAGAAUGGGUAGCUUGUUUGUUAUCCAUUAUAACCAUUGUCUAAAAAAAAUAAAUAAAUAAAAAUAAAAAAUAAAAAAAAUAUAUCUACACCAAUGAUUCGUGCAGAUUGUCAUGGUUACAUUCUCCAAUGAUCUAAUAUCAUUUGAUUGAUGCCAUUGCGUUGUCCAUUUUCAAUCAUCAACCCUUAAAAUGUUUCACCUUGUUCCCUUAUGAAGAGUAACCACAUGUGCCUAUUGCAUGUGUGAGAUUGCUGACGUGGCAAGGGUGUGGCAAAGUUCUUGAACCUCGAUUGUAUCACUAAGCAUGCAUUGUUUGGAAUCUUGACCAUUGGCUUUUCUUUCUUUUGCAAUAUUUAACUUUUUACUUUUUACUUUCCUGUACCUCCGUAGUGUCUCUUCCAUACGCCCCUUUUUUUUCUGUUCUUCCAUGUUCACUUUCUCUACAACCAUCAACAAGGCAAAUGUAGCUUUCUCACCUCCAUCAAAUGCAACUUAUAAACUAAGCUAUUCAAUUUAGCUGUGACCACCGAUCAAGGCAAUUCACAGGUUUUCGGUGUCGGAAACUUGCACGCUUUCUCUAUCUCAGUUUAAUUUCGCCGGCCUGCCAUCCACGGCCAAAUAGCCACUACAGAGAUCGAGGAAUGGAAGGACAAAUAGCCGUUGAACGAGGAGAUAGAAAACGGAUCUAGAACACAGGUGAAGAACUGGUCUUCUAAAUGGCGCCACAUUCAAGAUCAGAGCGGCUGGAUCGGUCUUAGUUUCUGGUGGGGUCACAUUGUGAGAUUCUUGAAGAAGGGCUGAGAUGCUCAGAAGGUCGGUUCUGGUUCUCCUGUCUACUUUUCUGCUGUCCUUGAGUAUCUCGCUACUGAGCUGACUCCAUUUGUAGCGAGGAGGCCUUUUGCAGAUGUUGAUGACUAUGAUAAUUGGUUCAUUUGGGAGUGAAUAGUGGUGCCCAAAAGUUUGCAAUUGAAGGUCAAGCAUUCAACGAAGCAACAUUUUGCUAUCCUGAUGAGCUCGGGUGACAACUAACCACAGUCCUGACGAUGUAGAAAUAUCUAAUACGAGACAGUGAAGGUCAAAGUAUUGGAGUUUUUGAAUAGGAAAGGGAAAGGAGUAGAGGCUCAUGUGGGGAAGCUUGAGUUUGGGGACCUUCAAAAGUUGCUUGUCGUUCGCACUCUUAAGCUCAAGAAGCUUGAAAUUCCAUGUAAACAUCUCUAACUUGAAGCCAUUUAGAGCUCCCAUUGCGUACCGUGCUGUUAUGAGAUAUUUGAUUGCAUACAUUGCCACAAUGAAGCAACGGUGAUAUUUGGCUUUUUACCUUGGUUUACAAGGGCGUCGUCCGGGAAUUUGGUUUUGGGAUCUUACAAAAUUGGGUCAAAAUCUAGGAGUUGAAACUAUAUGAUGCAGAUAGUAUACAAAAAGGAGUCUCUCCCAUUGAAGGCACGGGGGCUACUAUGCCCGAUGACAAAGAUGAUCCCAUAGACAAUGAUGGUAACUUGUUUGAUAGAGGUUUGGACGGCCUAGACACCAUGGGAUUUGGAGCCUCAUCCCAUCACUAAUGGAGCGUGUGAGGCAAGAGCUGAAGCAUGAGCUAAAACAACUACUGUAGAAGAAGAGCAAAAGACAAUAGACGACCUAAGCAUUCAAGAGGAGCCUCUAUAGCAAUUCAAGAGGAGCCUCUAUAGCGAAUACCGUCUAUAGCGAGCAAAAAAGUAAGUAUAAUAAGUUGAUUUAUCUUGUAAGAAUUACUCAAUUUGAAUUGUAGGUGGAUCUGUUGAUAAAUAGAUGAGCUAAGCAAUUUAAGAGGAGAAUGUGAAAUGGUAUUGCCUCUAUAGAGAAUACCAAGCCCUAAAGUAGAUAUGUUUUACGUGUGUUCAACUAUGGAUACGAUUGUAGAUGAAGCGAUGAUAGAGGAAGAUGUUGUUACUUCUGUAGGUGGAAUUCGUUUGGGUGAUGAUAAUAACCCCAGUUUCAUAUGUUCUGAAUCAAUGACUUGUGUCAGUGCAGAGCCUGACAAUAACAUGGUUGAUUCCGUCGUUGGUGAGUCCUUGUUGUGAACCCCUGAUCAUGCUAUGAGAGGAAUUCCAAGUAGUAACACUGUUGUAUAGUCAUCUCCGAUCCAAACAAUUGAAACUAUUGUGUCUAACAACCGGGUUAAUGUGGUUACCGUUGUAGAACCACCGAGGGUGGGUAUGGUUUUUAGAAGCUGGCAGGAUAUUGAGAUAUAUUAUAAACAGUACGCCGAGCAAAAGGGAUUUGGGGUUACUCGCACUCAAGGAAAUUUUUCAAAGAAAACCAAGGAGCGUAGGGGGUCAAGAUGGCGGUGUGAAUGCUGGGGUGCUCCUAACAUGAGGGCGCUAAGGGAGGCUAAGAAGAGGGCUAAGGCGAUGGAAGUGUUCGGGUGUGGUGGUAAGGUGAAUGGGGUUAUAGGACAAGAUGAGCUAAAGCACGGGAAGAGGACCUCCAAAAAGUGUCAAUGUGGUGCUACGGUAUAUGCUGGUGUCAACGAGGAAGGUGAAUGGGUUAUAAAAGAAGUGAACAAUGAACAUAACAAUCAUAAUCCUACCCCAUCCAAAUCUAAGCUGGUGAACGAGUAUAGAAUGAAGAGUCACGUCUGGUGUUCGGAAGCAAUUAGAAAACUUAUACGAACAGGGUGUUUUCGUAACUCAAAUUCACGGUGGUUUAUCCCGCCAGCAUGUGGUGUUACCUAGUGUGAAGAACCUUGAACAUGAGGUGUAUAAGGCGAGGAAGCUUAAAAUGGAGGGUGGUGACGCUGCAGCAAUGAUGCGUUACUUUGAAGAUAUGCAAGCCGAUAAUUCAAACUUCUAUCACGCUCACCGUUUGGAUGCGGAAGGUCGCCUAAAGGACGUCGUCUGGGUCGAUGCAAGCAGUCGGGCAGCAUAUGAAGAGUUUGGGGAUGUUGUGUGCUUUGAUGCCACUUAUCUAACAAAUCGCUAUGAACUUCCAUUUGCAAACUUUGUUGGGGUGAACCAUCACGGUCAGUCGAUUCUACUCGGUUAGGCUCUUGUUUCUCGUGAAGAUUGCGAGACAUAUUCUUGGGUAUUCCGCCAGUGGGUAGAAUGUAUGAGGAACAAAGCUCCGAUGGCCAUACUUACAGACCAAGCUGCAGCGACGAGGAAGCCGUUAGCUGAAAUUUAGGCCAAACUCCCGCCAUCGAUGGUGUAUAUGGCACAUUAUGAAGAAGAUCCCGGAAAAUCUUGGAACAUUCACCCUGUAAGUUAUUGGUCGUCGUUGUUUCAUUCUUCUACAGGAUUAAAAAACAAACUAAAUUUUCGCAAGUAUGUAAAAAUACAGCUAUACGUACGCUAUCUUACUAUUUAUCAUUUACUGUAUUUGCACAAUACGUGACAGGUACCAUGAAUUUAAGAGGCCGUUGAAAGUUGUUGUAUACCAGAGCGUUACCGUUGAAGAGUUUGAGAAAAGUUGGCUGGAACUUAAUAAGCUCUACAAGUUGGAAGAGAAUGAAUGGCUUAAUGAACUUUUUCAGGAGAGGCAUAUGUGGGUACCUGCAUUCAUGAAAGAGUAUUUCUGGCAGGAAUGAAAACAACCCAAAGGGUUGAGAGCAUAAAUAGCUUUUUUGACAAAUUUGUCAACCGCAAAACAAGACUGCAUGAGUUUCCACUAAAGUAUACUAUGGAAAUGGGGAAAAGGGUCAAAGAUGAGAGUGCAGCUGAUGCCAGAUGUAUGAAGUACGUUCGCCGCCUAAUAAGCGGUUUCAAGGUUGAGAAAAUAUUUUAAAGGUUGUACACUGAUCGUAAAUUCCAAGAGGUUCAGAAGGAGUUGGCUAGGAUGAUGUAUUGUCAUGGUAUGAGUGAAAGGGUUGUUCAUGAUCAUACCAAAGAGUAUGUACUCGAAGAUAGGGUGUGGAUUGUUCCCGAAGGGCUAAGCGAAGAGGUUAUUAUCGAUAGAAGACGUUGGUACCGCGUCAGGUUUAACACAGCGACGAAAGAGGUGUCGUGUGAAUGUCGUAAGUUUGAAACCCAUGGCAUAUUAUGGAAGCACUCUAUAAAAAUUAUGGACCAAAAUGGGGUAUCUGAGAUACCACAAAAAUAUAUUUUAGAUCGGUGGAGGAAAGACAUAGUUAGGAAGCAUACAAGGGUGAAGGUUGCUUAUCAUGACCCGACAAAAACCCAGAGGUGAGAAGGUAUAAUAAAAUUAUGACUGCUUUUGAGCCACUGUGUGACGAAGCAUCUGUCGUUGAUGAAAAUACCGUGGACAUGGUACUUGCAUCUCUGUUCAAGCUAAGUGAGGUCGUGAAGGUACACCGUAAGAAGUACAACAAAACACAUGAUUGUGUUCCUCUCCCAAGUGUCGAAUACCCCGUAUCUGAAAUAGGAUCUAUGAGUCACACUGUAGCUCCAAGGUCGGUGUCUAAACCACACAAUGGUAGCCAGCCGGAUGUGGACGUUACCCAAGAAGGGGGCGAAGGUGGGAAUGGUAGCAGUGGUGAAUGCCUUGACUGGGAUGAUGUGAUCCCACAGCAGCCGUCUCAGCCGGUGCUUGAUCCCACAACACGUAAAAGAAAGUGGGGAAGACCAAAGUGUUCCAGAAACAAACCCCCGUUUGAAACAAUAAGGGGGUCGGAUGUGGACGUUACCCAAGAAGGGGGCGAAGGUGGGAAUGGUAACACUGGUGAAUGCCUUGACUGGGAUGAUGUGAUCCCAUAACAGUCGUCUCAGUCGGUGCUUGAAGUUGAUCCCACAGCACGUAAAAGACAGCGUGGAAGACCAAAGGGUUCCAGAAACAAAUCCCCAUCUGAAGCAAUAAGGGGGUCGGAUGUGGACGUUACCCAAGAAGGGGGCGAAUGGGAAUGGUAACACUGGUCAAUGCCUUGACUGGGAUGAUGUGAUCCCACAGCAGCCGUCUCAGCCGGUGCUUGAAGUUGAUCCCACAGCACGUAAAAGACAAUGUGGAAGACCAAAGGGUUCCAGAAACAAACCCCCAUCUGAAACAAUAAGGGGGCCAGAUGUGGACGUUACCCAAGAAGGGGGCGAAGAUGGGAAUGGUAGCAGUGGUGAAUGCCUUGACUGGGAUGAUGUGAUCCCACCGCAGCCGUCUCAGCCGGUGCUUGAUCCCAUAGCACGUAAAAGGAAGCGUGGAAGACCAAAGGAUACCAGAAACAAACCCCUGUCUGAAACAGGUUAUAAGGCACCAAAUACAAGAAGAAGUAGAAGGAAGCAGAACCAUGCCACAGUGAUACUGCAGACCAAAGGUGGAUAUCGAGUCAUGGAUGACAGCGACAAUGGAUCUUUUGAAUUUUGAGCUCCACGACUAACCUUGUUCAUCUGUGGACAAUGUGGGUAUAGGUGAAUUUGCUUUCGAGUAAUAGUCAGAGUAAUGUACUGCUUUUGUGUUUUGGGGAUCAGAUGGAGCUCUUAGUGUUUUGGUUAGUAAGAUGUCUUUUAUAAACCGCUUAUAGCGUUGUUGGCUGCAAGAAUGGUUCUCUUAGUACUUUCAGCCUUUUUUUAGAUGUUGUACGUCUUUUGUAAACCCGCUUUCAGCGUUGCUGGCUGCAUGGAUAGUUCUCUUAGUACUUCAGCGUUUUUUAGAUGUUGUAUGUCUUGUGUAAACCCCAUUUCAGCGUUGUUGGCUACAAGCAUAUUUCUCUUA
Molecule: long non-coding RNA, 7760 nt
Organism: Chenopodium quinoa (quinoa)
Lineage: Eukaryota; Viridiplantae; Streptophyta; Magnoliopsida; Caryophyllales; Amaranthaceae
Exons: 13
Source: RefSeq, a predicted model, not a curated record